GGGGGUGUACUUCUGGUUUCGACAGGGAGUUUGCAGUGGGAGCAGCAAGUAGUGGUGGGAUAGCACUUAAAUCAUCUCAAAAAAAUAAACGCUAAUCGUAACGAAUUAGUAGCUGCUUAAUUAAAGCAGCCGUCUUGCCCGGUUUUCUAUCGGUCGGGGUCAAGGCGUCACGCAGAUAGAGCCCGUGAACGAGCUUAAGCUUUGCGGCUUGUCACGCAUUUAUGAAGCUACCGAUUAUCCGGCCUGUUUGUCGGCUUGGGUAUGAGGGAAUGUUGUAGAUAAACUAAACUUGUAGAUACUGCCAUGAAUUACUUUUUGGACACGGGUUCGACCCCCGUCACCUCCACCA
This 349-nucleotide transfer-messenger RNA is filed under the name Oscillospiraceae. Its description in RNAcentral is "RGIG3102 sp018109965 Standard tmRNA". It matches the Rfam family "transfer-messenger RNA". From Rfam's summary of the family: Bacterial tmRNA, also known as 10Sa RNA or SsrA, is named for its dual tRNA and mRNA-like properties. The record is from RNAcentral. Lineage: Bacteria; Bacillati; Bacillota; Clostridia; Eubacteriales. RNAcentral also lists the same sequence under 1 other name.